UACAGAGGGUGCAAGCGUUGUUCGGAAUUAUUGGGCGUAAAGCGCGUGUAGGCGGCUUUGCAAGUCGGGUGUGAAAGCCCUCGGCUCAACCGAGGAAAUGCGCCCGAAACUGCAGAGCUUGAGUACCGGAGAGGAUGGCGGAAUUCCCCAAGUAGAGGUGAAAUUUCGUAGAUAUGGGGAGGAACACCGGUGGCGAAGGCGGCCAUCUGGACGGAUACUGACGCUGAGACGC
RNAcentral lists this ribosomal RNA (232 nucleotides) under uncultured bacterium. Its description in RNAcentral is "partial 16S ribosomal RNA". It matches the Rfam family "Bacterial small subunit ribosomal RNA", at positions 524 to 754 of the family's 1533-position model. The record is from RNAcentral.